UGAAAUCUUGAGAAAAGGGACUGGCAGGGGUUUCGGAAGCGUUGGGGCCUCCUGCCCUGCCCUGCCCUGCCACUCUGGGAGUAUGAAAAGGUCAACCCCAAAGCCUAACUGGGCACCUGUCAGAAACCACGGGCAGACACUGGAAACUUUCACUUGGAUGCUCGGUCAUAGGGGCGUUCGUGGUCAUGAUGCCACUCUUAUGUUUGAACGUCGUGGGCUGUAAGUGUUUUUAUUUUAUUUUAUUUUAUUUUUACAAUGAGGGGGUUAUUCUCUUCAGUUUAUAGGGUUGACAUUUGUAAUACCACGGUAUUUUUUUUGUUUUUAUUUAUUUUCAUUUUCAUUUUUUUCUGACUGGGUUAUCAAACUAUUCCAAAGUAGAAGAUUUUCAUUUAUGGGUGAGCUGCAAGCUAUAAACAUGGUGUGUGGGUAGGAGCUCUGGGAUCAAUUAACAGGCUGAUAGUGGACAAAAAUAUAGUGCCAAAGACGGGGAGCUUCCACCAAGUGCCCUGUGACCAGAAAACAAGGCAAUGAACAAGCUUGUGGGAUUCAUUAAACUCAAGGCAUUUACUCAUCCUUUCCAUUGACAUGUUCAUCAAUAUAUGUAUAUAUACAUAUAUAUAUAUAUCUAGAGUUCUCCGAGGAUGACCACAAGUGUGUGUGUGUGGGGGGGAGGAGAUAGAAGCUCUUUCAGUUAUUCAUGGAUUGAAUAUGUGUAUGGAUGAGAAUAGACACUUGGACAAAUGGAGUAGUCUCUCAAUAUUUAGCUUUAUUUUGUUACUUGGUUGGAGAGUUUUGAGAAAAUGAUGUUCAUUUCACUACAUCAACAUUUGGAUUAAAACAUCAUAUUCUGAAAUAAAGUAAUGUUCUUUGAGUUGUAUAUAACUAUAUAUAUGCAUUGGUUUUAGUUGCUAUUCUUUUCUAUGUAUGUAAAAAUCAAUAAAUAAGUGUACCUAUUAUAUGUUGCUAGUGCAAAUAUCCUGAUUAUAUAUAUUUUUUACAUUUGAAAGAGAAUUUAAAAUAUAACAUUUUUUGAAUAGUUCUUAUGAAAAAACUAUCUCUCUAAAUUUGGCUGAAUAGCAAAACAUAGAAUUCACUUUUUCAUUUUUUUUCUCAAACCAUCAAAGUAAGUAUGGCUUGUUCAUUAAUUUCUACACAAAGCAACUUUCUAAAAUGUUUGUAUGCAGGUAUUUCACAAUGGAUAGAGUCAAGGCCAUAUGAAGGCGCAUUUUGAUUUUCUAUUAUUCAAAUACUACUUCACAUAUUUAUAACAUUCAAUGCUUUGAAUUUCCAACAAGUGAAUAUGUUCUCAUUAGAAACUACAAACAGGAAGUUUUAGGUCAAUCAACCUUCAUUGUGAACUUUCCUUGAAACCUUUACAUUUUGAAACAAACAGUUCAUAUAUCAAACAAAAAUAAUUUAUAAAUUUUAGACAUUUUGGUGUGGUCAGAUAGUAAUGAUAUAUUUAACCCCAUGGUUUGAAUAUAGAUUAUCAACAACUUCAACAAAUGGAGUUCACACAAAGUGAGGAAAAUGCUUCAUCUUCCCAUUAAUCACAUUCUGCACACAUGUCCCCAGAUUCAGCUUUGGAACCAUCAACCCACACAUGUUGCUCCUGAGAUAAACAGAGUUUUGUUCCAGAUGAAUGAAUCUCUGACCUUGCUGUUGUUCAUAAAUACAUAAAUAAAUAAAUAAAUACUAGUGAAAACUUGUGAUGUUUGAGCACACAAAUAAUACCAAUAAAAUGGGUAGGUUUUAUACAAAUAUCUUAAAAAAAUCAAGACCCCAUGCUGUUGGUAAAUUUGCUUCAAAGUUGUUUGACCCAAUGUGCCAAAUCUAUCACAAACCAAAUCAACCACAUGUC
RNAcentral lists this long non-coding RNA (1861 nucleotides) under Physcomitrium patens. Its description in RNAcentral is "long non-coding RNA (PPAT_LNC013696)". Lineage: Eukaryota; Viridiplantae; Streptophyta; Bryopsida; Funariales; Funariaceae. The record is from RNAcentral.